UACCGAGGGUGCGAGCGUUGUCCGGAAUCACUGGGCGUAAAGGGCGCGUAGGUGGCGCCGCAAGUCCAUGGUGAAAGCUCGAUGCUCAACAUCGAGUCGGCCACGGAGACUGCGGGGCUCGAGCACUGUAGGGGCAGAUGGAAUUCCGGGUGUAGCGGUGGAAUGCGUAGAGAUCCGGAAGAACACCGGUGGCGAAGGCGGUCUGCUGGGCAGUUGCUGACACUGAGGCGCGACAGCGUGGGGAGCAAACAGG
This 253-nucleotide ribosomal RNA is filed under the name uncultured bacterium. RNAcentral's name for it is "partial 16S ribosomal RNA". It matches the Rfam family "Bacterial small subunit ribosomal RNA", at positions 524 to 776 of the family's 1533-position model. The record is from RNAcentral.